Bombina bombina (fire-bellied toad) is the source of this 309-nucleotide long non-coding RNA. RefSeq lists it as uncharacterized. The transcript has 3 exons. Lineage: Eukaryota; Metazoa; Chordata; Amphibia; Anura; Bombinatoridae. The record is from RefSeq and is a predicted model, not a curated record.
AGCUGGGCUUGAGAAUAUGUGUGCAGAAGGACAAAGAGAUUGAUGAUUAUCUGUGAGAUUGAAGGGAUAGUUUCUGAGACGUGGGACUUGCAAGCUGUGACAGCCAUAUUUGUUUUGGGCAUAGGAUUAAGCAUUGGUGCCCAGUGGUUUUUGUAUGCUCCAUACGAUACCCCUAAGCUAGCGUGGACAGCUAGACUUCCUAUUGGAUUACUACAGACCAUCAUAUCCCAGCUAAAGAAUCCGUUUCACCCCAUUGGAUGACCCUCGACACGUGGUACGCCACACACGCUCAGACGCAACAACAGCGUC